AGCCCUUCCCAUGGGUCACACAAUCAAGAACACAUAAGAGCUCUGCCAGGAUCAAGACUGCUUUAUACAAUAUUAUUUUACCAAGGAUAAGAUGUGAGUUGAAGUAAUGACUCAACUGUACCAGCAAGGCAAACGAGAGAUUCUCCAAUGACCAUUGGAGCUGGCCAGUCGAUAAUGAACUCAAUGAGAUCUCCAGGUCCCACAGGUCAAAAUCAGGUCUCGAAUUUGUAGUUCAAAUAGCCACAUUGUGUUAAAAAGUGCUAAAAUUAUUAUUUUAGUGAUUUACGAGGAAGAGAUGCUCUUAGAUAGUAACCUUACGAAAAUACCUCUUGGGAGUUGGAUAUUACGAUAGAUUGGAUAUUGUUCUCUACUCAUCACUCCUCCCUGUUAAAGAGUUAUACUUUGGGAAGUUUCUAUUGAGAUAUCCUCCAGCUCAGAGAUUCUUUCCUCAGCUGUGUCCGGUCUGCUAAUAAACCCAUCAAAGGGUCUAAGUCUUCAGGCUAUAUUCACAAAGUCCUAAAGAAAUUUUGAAGUAAAAGAAGGUUUUGGAUAUCUAGAUAUCUCUAGGAAACAGCCUGGCCACCCACCUCAACAAAUGCUUGAGGCCCACAUGUAGCCUGCAGACAGCACCUCCCCCCACGGAGCGCAGGAGCAGGAGGCCUGUGUCCUGUUAUUUGCCACCGGCAUUGCCCGCCACAUGUGGGCACCGACGCAGAUACUCAAGCUUGUUCUCUUGCUCCUGCAACAUCAGAGCUGUCCACCAUCUCAGGCAGCUAUUUCUGAAGAACAAGAAAAAAGGAUUGACUUUCUUUAGGUUCUGAUUGAAUACUGUGAGGCUAACGUGCCCCAACUUAUUUAAGAGAUGGAUCUGAUUGAACCAACCAAACAGCACCUGACUGCAACACCCUGCUACUGUGACACUGACGUCUCCUUCUAAUCUCCAGUGUUCUCAUCCUCAAAAUAGCCUGGGGUUUUUUCCCCUUUAUUCAAUAACCAUUCUCUCUCUAUUCUCAGAUAGGUCCAUUUCUUAACUGUUCUGGAACUUUUCUUCUUUGAGGAAGCUUAGUCCUGAGCUAACUACUGCCAGUC
Long non-coding RNA from Equus quagga, 1089 nucleotides. RefSeq lists it as uncharacterized. The record is from RefSeq and is a predicted model, not a curated record. The transcript has 6 exons. NCBI's taxonomy places the organism in Eukaryota, Metazoa, Chordata, Mammalia, Perissodactyla, Equidae.